AACGAACGCUGGCGGCAUGCCUAACACAUGCAAGUCGAACGAGACCUUCGGGUCUAGUGGCGCACGGGUGCGUAACGCGUGGGAACCUGCCCUUAGGUUCGGAAUAACUCCCCGAAAGGGGUGCUAAUACCGGAUAAUGUCUUCGGACCAAAGAUUUAUCGCCUUUGGAUGGGCCCGCGUUGGAUUAGCUAGUUGGUAGGGUAAAAGCCUACCAAGGCGACGAUCCAUAGCUGGUCUGAGAGGAUGAUCAGCCACACUGGGACUGAGAAACGGCCCAGACUCCUACGGGAGGCAGCAGUGGGGAAUAUUGGACAAUGGGCGAAAGGCUGAUCCAGCAAUGCCGCGUGAGUGAUGAAGGCCUUAGGGUUGUAAAGCUCUUUUACCCGGGAUGAUAAUGACAGUACCGGGAGAAUAAGCUCCGGCUAACUCCGUG
RNAcentral lists this ribosomal RNA (433 nucleotides) under uncultured bacterium. RNAcentral describes it as "partial 16S ribosomal RNA". It matches the Rfam family "Bacterial small subunit ribosomal RNA", at positions 29 to 507 of the family's 1533-position model. The record is from RNAcentral.